Molecule: ribosomal RNA, 232 nt
Filed under: uncultured bacterium
Lineage: Bacteria
Description: partial 16S ribosomal RNA
Rfam family: Bacterial small subunit ribosomal RNA
Source: RNAcentral
CGGGUGAGUAACGCGUGAGGAACCUGCCUCAAAGAGGGGACAACAGUUGGAAACGACUGCUAAUACCGCAUAAGCCCACAGCUCGGCAUCGAGCAGAGGGAAAAGGAGCAAUCCGCUUUGAGAUGGCCUCGCGUCCGAUUAGCUAGUUGGUGAGGUAACGGCCCACCAAGGCGACGAUCGGUAGCCGGACUGGGAGGUUGAACGGCCACAUUGGGACUGAGACACGGCCCAG